RNAcentral lists this long non-coding RNA (2221 nucleotides) under Sus scrofa (pig). Its description in RNAcentral is "lncRNA (ENSSSCG00040071345.1)". Lineage: Eukaryota; Metazoa; Chordata; Mammalia; Artiodactyla; Suidae. The record is from RNAcentral.
GCCUUUUCUAGGGCCGCUCCCAUGGCAUAUGGAGGUUCCCCGGCUAGUGGUUGAAUUGGAGCUAUUGCCGCCGGCCUACGUCAGAGCCACAGCAAUGCGGGAUCCAAGCCACGUCUGCAGUCUAGGAGCAAGGCCCGGGAUCGAACCCGAAACCUCAUGGUUCCUAAUCGGAUUCAUUAGCCACUGCGCCACAACAGGAACUCCAAGAUUCUUGAAAAAAAUAUUUGAGUCAAUUGGGAGAAUAUGUAAGAAACUGCAAAUUAUAGGCAGAUAAAACAAGUUACUUAUGCACAGAAAGACUGAGAAGUACUAAUUGCUCAGAGAAUCAACAGUAUGGUUACAGUAUGUAAAGGGAAAAACCUGGUCUCAUUUCUGUUUCUCCUUUAUUUUCACACUACUGCCACACUCACAACGCUUCUAAAACCAGAUGUGGGUUUUUCCCUCACCAAGCAAUUCUGUGACACUAGCUGGGUCUCCUACGAUUUAGCUCAAUUCUGACUCUGUCAAACUGGAGACAACACCUGGAGACAGCAUCUGAUCCCACAGGUUAAGGGCUCAGUCCCACAAGACUGCCCCCGUUCAGAUGCCAAUUGCAAGUAAUUAAGUGCCUGGGUUACCCACAACUUUUGUCCAACAUGGCUAUAAACUGGAGGUUUCCAUAACCUCCUCCCCUUCAAUUUGAUUAUUGGAUAGAACAACUCACAGAACUCCGUUUAUUAAAGGAUAUGGUAAAGGAUAAAGAUGAAGAACCUGAACAACCAGAUGAACAGAUACACAGGGAAAGUCUGGGAGUGUAGGAGCAUCUGCCUAGUGGAGUUGGGGUGUGUAAUCUUCCUGGUAUGUGGAUGGGUUCACCAGCCUGGAAGCUCUCCAAACUCCAUACUACUGGGAUUUUAUUAAGUCUUCCUCAUGUAGGUGUGAUCAAUUGACCCCAUUUCCGGCCUUUCUCCCCUCUCUAUAGAAUGGGAGGAGGGGCUGAAAAUUCCAAGCUUCUAAUCAGGCUUUAUCUACCUGGAGACCAGACCACAUCUAAGAACCCAUCCAGAGUCCCCUCACAAAACAAAAGAUGCUUCCAAUGCACCUAUCACUUGGGAAUUGACAAGAUUUUCAGGAGCCCAGUGUCAGAAACAGGAGGCAGAGACCAACAUAUUUAUUUAUUGUUUUCCAUGGUACAAGGUGAGCGUGAAGACAUGAAAAGUUGGGAAAAGUAGUAAUGCCAAUACUAACAUUUUAUUAAGCAACAUUCUGGUUACUAUUUAGUAGUUUACAUGUUACCUUCAUAACAACCCCAUUUUACAGAUGCCAAAAAAGAAGGCAUGGUAGUGUUAGGUUAACUGGCCUAAAAGAUUAUACAGCUAAUAAAUGAUAGAGACAGGCUCUGAAUCCAGGGAGUUUGUCUGCCCUUCUGAAAAUGGUGUCAUAACGAAUGGCCUUUUUAUUCUGAAGAUUCCGGGAAUUCUUAGGUAGAAAGUUGGAGACAGUGACAGAAAGAUCCUUUUCUAUCUAUUUGCCGUUGGCUUGGCUACCUCAAAGGAAAAUCUAAGUUUAUGGAGCUAAAAUGGAAACCAGAGGACUGUUUCAAAUACUCUGAUCCUCCACAUUACCUGAGCAAGUGGACUAAGUUCAGAUAUUUCAAGUUGGGCAGACCUUCACCGAGGGGGUAUCUUACCUUCCUAUCCAGAGGAAAGGGAACUGGAGCUGUGAAAUGGAGAACGAGUGUUGUUGCAACCGUAGGAGACAAGCAAAAUUAUUAUUCUUAUUUAACAAAUGGCAUCAUUAAAGCACAAUUAUUAUAGAACUUGCUUACAGCCCCCCCCCCCCCCCCCAAACAAGUAUAUGGAGGAGGUAAGUCGGGCUGGAAAAAAGUACAAUGAAAUUGUAAAUAAGUACACAACAUAUGAUUAAGAAUUAGUACUUUUCAGCUACCGUGUAGCAGAAGAAACUCGGACUUGAACCAGGACUUGGAUUCAAGCUCCAUCCCUGAGUCUAAGUGUAAAAAUUUGGGGCUGGUCACUGCGGGCAAUUUUCUCACCUACAAAACGCAAGACAAUAAUUCCUACCUCAUAGGGUUUUUGUAAGGAUCUAGCGUUUGUAAAAGCGCACUGUAAUCUCUAAAAUGUUAAACAAACGUGAAAAACAACUCCACUCUGCUUCGGACUCGUAAAUUUGGGACGCGGUCAAUCAACCCUAACAGGCAAAUGCUCCGCUCUCCUUCCCGGAA